This 75-nucleotide transfer RNA is filed under the name Staphylococcus aureus. Its description in RNAcentral is "tRNA-Gly". It matches the Rfam family "tRNA". Rfam says of the family: Transfer RNA (tRNA) molecules are approximately 80 nucleotides in length. Lineage: Bacteria; Bacillati; Bacillota; Bacilli; Caryophanales; Staphylococcaceae. The record is from RNAcentral.
GCAGGAGUAGUUCAGCGGUAGAAUACAACCUUGCCAAGGUUGGGGUCGCGGGUUCGAAUCCCGUCUUCUGCUCCA